Molecule: ribosomal RNA, 1472 nt
Filed under: uncultured bacterium
Lineage: Bacteria
Description: bacterial SSU rRNA
Rfam family: Bacterial small subunit ribosomal RNA
Source: RNAcentral
GCUCAGAUUGAACGCUGGCGGCAGGCCUAACACAUGCAAGUCGAGCGGUAGCACAGAGAGCUUGCUCUCGGGUGACGAGCGGCGGACGGGUGAGUAAUGUCUGGGAAACUGCCUGAUGGAGGGGGAUAACUACUGGAAACGGUAGCUAAUACCGCAUAAUGUCGCAAGACCAAAGUGGGGGACCUUCGGGCCUCAUGCCAUCAGAUGUGCCCAGAUGGGAUUAGCUAGUAGGUGGGGUAACGGCUCACCUAGGCGACGAUCCCUAGCUGGUCUGAGAGGAUGACCAGCCACACUGGAACUGAGACACGGUCCAGACUCCUACGGGAGGCAGCAGUGGGGAAUAUUGCACAAUGGGCGCAAGCCUGAUGCAGCCAUGCCGCGUGUGUGAAGAAGGCCUUCGGGUUGUAAAGCACUUUCAGCGGGGAGGAAGGCGGUGAGGUUAAUAACCUCACCGAUUGACGUUACCCGCAGAAGAAGCACCGGCUAACUCCGUGCCAGCAGCCGCGGUAAUACGGAGGGUGCAAGCGUUAAUCGGAAUUACUGGGCGUAAAGCGCACGCAGGCGGUCUGUCAAGUCGGAUGUGAAAUCCCCGGGCUCAACCUGGGAACUGCAUUCGAAACUGGCAGGCUAGAGUCUUGUAGAGGGGGGUAGAAUUCCAGGUGUAGCGGUGAAAUGCGUAGAGAUCUGGAGGAAUACCGGUGGCGAAGGCGGCCCCCUGGACAAAGACUGACGCUCAGGUGCGAAAGCGUGGGGAGCAAACAGGAUUAGAUACCCUGGUAGUCCACGCCGUAAACGAUGUCGAUUGGAGGUUGUGCCCUUGAGGCGUGGCUUCCGGAGCUAACGCGUUAAAUCGACCGCCUGGGGAGUACGGCCGCAAGGUUAAAACUCAAAUGAAUUGACGGGGGCCCGCACAAGCGGUGGAGCAUGUGGUUUAAUUCGAUGCAACGCGAAGAACCUUACCUGGUCUUGACAUCCACAGAACUUUCCAGAGAUGGAUUGGUGCCUUCGGGAACUGUGAGACAGGUGCUGCAUGGCUGUCGUCAGCUCGUGUUGUGAAAUGUUGGGUUAAGUCCCGCAACGAGCGCAACCCUUAUCCUUUGUUGCCAGCGGUCCGGCCGGGAACUCAAAGGAGACUGCCAGUGAUAAACUGGAGGAAGGUGGGGAUGACGUCAAGUCAUCAUGGCCCUUACGACCAGGGCUACACACGUGCUACAAUGGCAUAUACAAAGAGAAGCGACCUCGCGAGAGCAAGCGGACCUCAUAAAGUAUGUCGUAGUCCGGAUUGGAGUCUGCAACUCGACUCCAUGAAGUCGGAAUCGCUAGUAAUCGUAGAUCAGAAUGCUACGGUGAAUACGUUCCCGGGCCUUGUACACACCGCCCGUCACACCAUGGGAGUGGGUUGCAAAAGAAGUAGGUAGCUUAACCUUCGGGAGGGCGCUUACCACUUUGUGAUUCAUGACUGGGGUGAAGUC